GAUGAACGCUGGCGGCGUGCCUAAUACAUGCAAGUCGAGCGAACAGACGAGGAGCUUGCUCCUCUGACGUUAGCGGCGGACGGGUGAGUAACACGUGGAUAACCUACCUAUAAGACUGGGAUAACUUCGGGAAACCGGAGCUAAUACUGGAUAACAUGUUGAACCGCAUGGUUCAACAGUGAAAGACGGUCUUGCUGUCACUUAUAGAUGGAUCCGCGCCGCAUUAGCUAGUUGGUAAGGUAACGGCUUACCAAGGCAACGAUGCGUAGCCGACCUGAGAGGGUGAUCGGCCACACUGGAACUGAGACACGGUCCAGACUCCUACGGGAGGCAGCAGUAGGGAAUCUUCCGCAAUGGGCGAAAGCCUGACGGAGCAACGCCGCGUGAGUGAAGAAGGCCUUCGGAUCGUAAAACUCUGUUAUUAGGGAAGAACAAAUGUGUAAGUAACUAUGCACGUCUUGACGGUACCUAAUCAGAAAGCCACGGCUAACUACGUG
This 497-nucleotide ribosomal RNA is filed under the name uncultured bacterium. RNAcentral describes it as "partial 16S ribosomal RNA". It matches the Rfam family "Bacterial small subunit ribosomal RNA", at positions 28 to 507 of the family's 1533-position model. The record is from RNAcentral.